GCUUAACACAUGCAAGUCGAGGGGCAGCGGGAUCUAAGCUUGCUAAGAUAGACGGCGACCGGCGCACGGGUGAGUAACACGUAUCCAAUCUACCCCUGACUCAGGGAUAGCCCGCUGAAAAUGAGAUUAAUACCCGAUGUUCUGCUAUGAAGACAUCUGAACAAGAACAAAGAUAUAUCGCUAAUGGAUGAGGAUGCGUCUGAUUAGGCAGUAGGCGGGGUAACGGCCCACCUAGGCGACGAUCAGUAGGGGUUCUGAGAGGAAGGUCCCCCACAUUGGUACUGAGACACGGACCAAACUCCUACGGGAGGCAGCAGUGAGGAAUAUUGGUCAAUGGGCGUAAGACUGAACCAGCCAAGUAGCGUGCAGGAUGACUGCCCUAUGGGUUGUAAACUGCUUUUGUAUGGGAAUAAAGUGUGGGACGUGUCCCAGUUUGUAUGUACCGUACGAAUAAGGAUCGGCUAAUUCCGUGCCAGCAGCCGCGGUAAUACGGAAGGUGCGAGCGUUAUCCGGAUUUAUUGGGUUUAAAGGGAGCGUANGCUGGCCUUUAAGCGUGA
This 557-nucleotide ribosomal RNA is filed under the name uncultured rumen bacterium. Its description in RNAcentral is "bacterial SSU rRNA". It matches the Rfam family "Bacterial small subunit ribosomal RNA", at positions 46 to 592 of the family's 1533-position model. The record is from RNAcentral.